Molecule: RNA transcript, 3753 nt
Organism: Columba livia (rock pigeon)
Lineage: Eukaryota; Metazoa; Chordata; Aves; Columbiformes; Columbidae
Gene: ESCO1
Gene name: establishment of sister chromatid cohesion N-acetyltransferase 1
Exons: 13
Source: RefSeq, a predicted model, not a curated record
CUCCCCCCCCACGUCGUCGCUCGCCUCCGCCCCGCCCCCUGCUUCCCCGUCCCCCCUCCCCCCCCCGCUCCCCCCCAGCUGGCGAGCCGGGCGAGGAGGGCGGCUCGCGCUGCCGGCACGUCGCUGACACUCGCGCGAGGUGGCAUGAAACAUCCUAUUCGUCAGCAUAUACAUAAGGAAUGCUCUUGGCACACCUUGACAAGUUGCUUUGGCCUAAACAUCGAUUGCCGCUUGUAAAAACCUAAAUGGCAGCUCAGAAAAGGAAGUCGAUGUUAGUAGAGCCUUCUGCUAAACGUCCAAAGCUGGACAAGAACAGCAAACCGUCAUCAGUGAAGAAGGAAAAGGAGGUGUCAGAUAUAAAACAUGUCUCAAAUAAAUCAAAGCCUAAUCAGUGUGCAGUGCAGGAGAAAACUGUACUCAAAACCUCUGCCAAAUCAAACAGUGAUAACACCAGUGAACCUGAACAAGGAAUGCGCAUGACUACAAGAUCAUCAGGAUUCAACUCAAAUAAUAAAACAAUUCCUGACAAAAAGGUCCAACAGCAGCCUAAAUCUGCAAAAAGUAAGGAAGUAUGCCAGAAAAAAUCUGUGCAAGAAAUUCCUAAGUCAAAAUGCAUAAUUGCACCAAAUGAGCCAGUAACGAGGAGAUCACAGAGACUGCAGCAGUUAACACAUGUACAUGUACCAGCAAGAUCCCUGCGCAACAGGGAAGUUAAAGAAGAAAAAGCUUCGGAAGUUAAACAAAGUAGCCAGGCAAGAAGACAUGCUCAGAAUGUUGCAGCAAAACCACUUAAAUCUGCUGGAAAGAAAAUGGAACAGAAAAACACAAAAACAAAGCCAAAUGAUACAAAUGAGAACAAAGAAAUACAUGUAGAAGUGACGAGGUCUCUGAAAGAGAAAAAAUGUAAAGCAGACAAUAAAAAUGAUAAUUCGAACAACUUCCAACAAAACCUUCAGGGAUCAUCAGGUCCUGAUGAGAGUCUUAAGGAAGUUAAGAAAGACCUAAUGGGCCCUGUAUCUCCUAUUCCUAGCAACACAAAGAAAGUGGAAACAGAUUCUCUUAAGCCAAAUUCUAAGACAGUAACUAAUGAAAAGCAACAAAUACAUCAGAAGGUAAAAAACAGUACAAAACCAAAAAAGAUUUCACAGCCAUCUGUAAGUGAAAUAAAUGUGGCUGAUCAGCCAGAGAACGAUGUGAAAUCCAAAAGGGUAAGCAUCCUUGAACUUUGUGAAGAAAUCGCAGGUGAGAUUGAGUCUGAUACAGUAGAGGUGAAAAAAGAUUCCCCUAAUGCUGAGUGUAGCAAAACAGAAGAAAAGCAUGCCAGCAUACAGUUUCAACAAAGUGAAAUGCUUAUUCAGAAAGAAGCUAGUCAAAGUACUCAAUGCAAACGUUUUUUCCCUAGUAAAAAAGGAAUGCCUGUUAAAUGCACUCUGAAUGGUAGAAAUAACUCCUCAAACAAAAACUCUAAAUGGACCAAAAUUAAAUUACUGAAAGCUAGUAACAUUAAGCAAAGUAACUUAAAUUCUGCAAAUGUCCCCAAGCUUUCUUUGUUAAAAGAUUACACUGAAGUUUCAGAGGCAAGUCAAAUAGCUACAGAAGCAGAGCUUUCGAAGGCACAAGACAAGCUGUCAGUAACAGGACUCUCUGAGAAUGAAAGUGCAACUUGUGUGCAGGAGAAAUCAGAUCCUUCAUCUGAAAGAACUGAAGCUAAAGAAGUGACAUUGGAAAUAAAACAGCCCACAAAGAGAGGUGCAGAAAAUGGUUUGUUGCACAAUUUGACAAAACAUUUAUGUGAGUCAAGACCAGAUGAGAACUUUCGAUUACAUUUGGAAUCAAGUCCAGAAAGUUCUCCAGUAAAGUAUGUCACAGCUGCUAAACCUCCAAAACAAUUUAAAAAAGAACCAGGAGAAAGUGAACCUCAAGGUUUGGCUCCCAAGCAGUUGACACAUACUUCAUUUACAAAUCAAACUUCUGAAACCGCAAACAGGGUUCCAUUGUCAAAUCCUUCAUUAGCAUCAAAAUGCAGUAACUUCCUGUCAUCUGAGGAACAUAGUCAGAAGCUAAAAGAAGCAGGAAAAGAUGGUGAUAAGCAGCUGAUCAUAGAUGCAGGACAGAAGAGAUUUGGUGCUAUUUCCUGUAAUAUUUGUGGAAUGCUUUACACUGCAUCAAAUCCAGAGGAUGAAACCCAACAUCUGCUAUUUCAUAACCAGUUCAUAAGUGCUGUAAAAUAUGUGGUACUGCUCAUUAUUCACCACGAGUGUGGAUCUGAAGAAGAGUUAAUUACCUCUAUUUUUUUGAGUAUGUUUAUACUUCAGAUACACACAACGUAGCCUCCUUCCCCAUUAGAUUCUUAGAAGGGUUGGAAAAAGGAGAGAAUUUUGGCUGAAUAUCCUGAUGGAAAGAUAAUAAUGGUUCUUCCUGAUGACCCAAAGUAUGCACUUAAAAAGGUCGAAGAAAUUAGAGAAAUGGUAGACAAUGACUUAGGAUUUCAGCAAACUCCGCUCAUGUGUUACUCUAGAACAAAAACUCUUCUUUUUAUUUCUAAUGACAAAAAAGUUAUCGGCUGUUUGAUUGCAGAACAUAUCCAGUGGGGCUACAGAGUGAUAGAGGAGAAGGUUCCAGAAGUCAGUUCAGAAAAUGAGAAAGUCAUAUUUGAAAGACAGAAAGCAUGGUGCUGUUCAACUUCUCCAGAACCUGCUAUUUGUGGGAUUAGUCGAAUAUGGGUAUUCAGCAUGAUGCGUCGGAAGAAGAUCGCUUCUCGGAUGAUAGAGUGUCUUAGGAGCAACUUCAUCUAUGGCUCCUACCUAAGCAAAGAAGAAAUCGCUUUCUCUGACCCCACUCCCGAUGGGAAGCUCUUUGCGACGCAGUACUGCGGCACCGGCCAGUUCCUCGUGUACAACUUCCUCAAUGGGCAGCACCAGACUUAACUGCUCGCGGGGCAACUCUGUUUUUACUGGGAGGCUUCUGCCAACACACACGGAGCAGUGGGCACACCCUUCAGCAGAAGCCAGGGCCAUUUUUAUUACAGUGAACUCAGGACUGGUAACAACCGAAAAGGUUGUACUAUUUUAUUAAAAUUGUAAACAAUGCAGUAAUAGGCUAACUUUGUUUUUUUAAAAAGAAAGAUAUUUUAUUAACUUUUGCAAAAGUUUUAUUGUAUUUUAUCUAGUUAGUCAUGUUUACAUGCAGCAGAAAAUUGUUCAUAGUGGACUGUAAACUAAUGCAAAAACUCUGGUCUCAUGGACGAGUACGUGGUGAAGUUCGUAAUGUGGUGAUAUACCAGUGCUGCGGGGUGAGGCCGGGAGCGGUCGCUCGCUCGAUGGCGUCGCAGGCUCCGCUCCAUUGCAUCCAGGCAAGAAGCGUUAGGGCGCAGUGGUCAGGGGUGACAACCCUCACAGACUGUACGCUGCCUUCUGGGGUGCAUCCUGCGCCCUGCUCGGUGCGGGGGAGCCUACUGGCUGUCAGCAGCGGUGGAAUCUGCUUCUACUCACCCCCCCCGUUUCUCCCCCAGAUUAGUUGUAGAGUAAAAGGUGGAACGAAAACCCUGAGGACUGGUGUACUCGUCAUUUUUCUUCAAGUACUGUACUGAGUAUAUACCUUUGUUAGUGGACUUGGCUUUGAUACUUGUCACUCCUUCAUAAAUAUCUCCUCUUUUCAAGGGUUUGUACGUUGAAAAACUGCUGUGGCCUUUCUUGAUCUGUACAUAAUGUAGAUAGAUUAAAAAUAAAAUACUUGAUAGCUUUUUUAAAGUUA